This 550-nucleotide ribosomal RNA is filed under the name Rapana rapiformis. Its description in RNAcentral is "partial 12S ribosomal RNA". The record is from RNAcentral. Lineage: Eukaryota; Metazoa; Mollusca; Gastropoda; Neogastropoda; Muricidae.
AAACCAAGAAGAUUAAGUUAUGUUCUAUCGGUGAAAAGAUAGUUAAGCAUUAAUAAAAGUUUUUUUAAUUAUUAUUAGGAAGUAAAAUUCGAAAAUAAUAUAGAAAUUUAACCAAGACUAAAAGGCUGAAGCUAUGACACCCUCGAGGGAAACUGGGAUUAGAUACCCCACUAUUCUUGGAUAUAAAAAGGUAUAUGUGUUUACCAGAGUACUAUGGAUUGCUUACAUUUAAAACUCAAAGAGCUUGGCGGUGUUUUAGACUUUUUAGGGGAACCUGUCUCAUAAUCGACAACCCACGUAAAACCUGACCUUUAUUUGCUCUCAGUUUGUAUACCGUCGUCGUCAGGUAACUUUUUAGAAAAAAGAAGUUAGCAACUGAGUUCACUAUAAACUCUUACGUCAGAUCAAGGUGCAGCUUAUAUAAUGGGGAGGAUGGGUUACAAUUAUAAAAGUUAUAACUACGAAAUAACAACUUUAAAUGAAGUUAUGAAGGAGGACUUAAAAGUAAAAUAGAAUAGAUAAAUAUAUUGAAUUAGGCUCUGAAACGUGC